RNAcentral lists this ribosomal RNA (396 nucleotides) under uncultured bacterium. RNAcentral describes it as "partial 16S ribosomal RNA". It matches the Rfam family "Bacterial small subunit ribosomal RNA", at positions 523 to 918 of the family's 1533-position model. The record is from RNAcentral.
AUACGUAGGUGGCGAGCGUUGUCCGGAUUUACUGGGUGUAAAGGGCGAGUAGGCGGGCUUGCAAGUCAGAUGUGAAAUACCGAGGCUCAACUUCGGGGCUGCAUUUGAAACUGCGAGUCUUGAGUGAUGGAGAGGCAGGCGGAAUUCCCAGUGUAGCGGUAAAAUGCAUAGAUAUUGGGAAGAACACCAGUGGCGAAGGCGGCCUGCUGGACAUUAACUGACGCUGAGGAGCGAAAGUGUGGGGAGCAAACAGGAUUAGAUACCCUGGUAGUCCACACCGUAAACGAUGGAUACUAGGUGUGCGGGGACUGACCCCCUGCGUGCCGCAGUUAACACAAUAAGUAUCCCACCUGGGGAGUACGAUCGCAAGAUUGAAACUCAAAGGAAUUGGCGGGG